UGCAUUCACUACUGUAAGUCGCUGUGGAUAAGAGCGUCUGCUAAAUGACGUAAA
Molecule: non-coding RNA, 54 nt
Organism: Salmo salar (Atlantic salmon)
Lineage: Eukaryota; Metazoa; Chordata; Actinopteri; Salmoniformes; Salmonidae
Source: Rfam